GCAAAAGGGUCAUUUUCUAAUGCGCUCUAUUUGGUAAUCAAUCAAUCAAAAAGGUCAUUUCCCCCCUAAUAAAUGUUGUAAACUAUAAGCAAUAUAAAAGAACAAUGACUUGCUCACAAAGUCAAUUGUAUUAUUAAGAUAAUAUACUUAGAUAUUAUGAUAUCCAUGUAUAAGAUUUGGUCACUAAAUUGACAUUUUUGCCCUUUUUGCUCCCGUAACAUGAUACCAACAUUAUUAUCACCAUUCUUCUACAAAAAAAAAAAAUAUUAUCAUCAUUGGUCAAUACAUUAUUCCCCCUGAACCUCAUUUAUGGUAUUUCUCUUAUUUCC
Molecule: long non-coding RNA, 329 nt
Filed under: Salvia miltiorrhiza (redroot sage)
Lineage: Eukaryota; Viridiplantae; Streptophyta; Magnoliopsida; Lamiales; Lamiaceae
Description: long non-coding RNA (SMIL_LNC001133)
Source: RNAcentral